Molecule: non-coding RNA, 68 nt
Organism: Rattus norvegicus (Norway rat)
Lineage: Eukaryota; Metazoa; Chordata; Mammalia; Rodentia; Muridae
Source: Rfam
GAGGAUUUAGCUCAGUGGUAGAGCGCUUGCCUAGCAAGCACAAGGCCCUGGGUUCAGUCCCCAGCUCC